This 515-nucleotide ribosomal RNA is filed under the name uncultured bacterium. Its description in RNAcentral is "partial 16S ribosomal RNA". It matches the Rfam family "Bacterial small subunit ribosomal RNA", at positions 28 to 523 of the family's 1533-position model. The record is from RNAcentral.
GAUGAACGCUGGCGGCGUGCCUGAUACAUGCAAGUCGAGCGACUGGAUUAAGAGCUUGCUCUUAUGAAGUUAGCGGCGGACGGGUGAGUAACACGUGGGUAACCUGCCCAUAAGACUGGGAUAACUCCGGGAAACCGGGGCUAAUACCGGACAACAUUUUGAACCGCAUGGUUCGAAAUUGAAAGGCGACUUCGGCUGUCACUUAUGGAUGGACCCGCGUCGCAUUAGCUAGUUGGUGAGGUAACGGCUCACCAAGGCAACGAUGCGUAGCCGACCUGAGAGGGUGAUCGGCCACACUGGGACUGAGACACGGCCCAGACUCCUACGGGAGGCAGCAGUAGGGAAUCUUCCGCAAUGGACGAAAGUCCGACGGAGCAACGCCGCGUGAGUGAUGAAGGCUUUCGGGUCGUAAAACUCUGUUGUUAGGGAAGAACAAGUGCUAGUUGAAUAAGCUGACACCUUGACGGUACCUAACCAGAAAGCCACGGCUAACUACGUGCCAGCAGCCGCCGUAA